RNAcentral lists this long non-coding RNA (646 nucleotides) under Ovis aries (sheep). Its description in RNAcentral is "lncRNA (ENSOARG00000025401.1)". The record is from RNAcentral. Lineage: Eukaryota; Metazoa; Chordata; Mammalia; Artiodactyla; Bovidae.
GACCACCACACUUUCCAGCAGCCGCUGCUGCCAAGAGAGGAAGGCAGCACAGUCGGGGCCCCCAUUGCCCGCAAAGCUGGGGUCCACGCCCCCAUAGAGCCAGUCCAGGAGACUUUGGUAGCUAUACCGGGACAUGAUGCAAAGUGGCUCCCCACGACCACCGUGCAGGAAGCGAGAGCGAGAUGGAACACAAGCCCCGAGGGUGGCCCGGGUGGUGGGACAUAUACGGAGGGCACCCCCCCGCCCCCGCACCCCCCUCCGGACACCGGGGCAACUAGAGCAGGGGACGGGAAGCUACACGCGAGGCCCGGGGCCAAGUGCUGGCUCUAAUUUGUCCCUACGGCUGCCUGGGGAGCCCCCCGCGCUUCUCCAGUGGCCACCAACGAGGGAGGGGGGAAACGAGCCGUUGGCCAAUCUAAAAGGAAGGAGAGGAAAAAAAAAAGGUCUCAAAGAGGCAAUUGCAUCGGGAAUUACGAGGCGGGGAGGGGUAACUAGCGAGGGAAGAAAAGGGGAACAGGGCAGUGGCGAAGCAAGCAGGGGUCGGGGGAAGUCGGAGGCCGGGAGGGUCAGGGCCAGGGUUGAGGGGACGCGGCAGGAGCGAACCGGGGGAGACGGUGAGGGAACACGCGGCGGCCAGGAGGGGAGC